RNAcentral lists this ribosomal RNA (468 nucleotides) under uncultured bacterium. RNAcentral describes it as "partial 16S ribosomal RNA". It matches the Rfam family "Bacterial small subunit ribosomal RNA", at positions 28 to 507 of the family's 1533-position model. The record is from RNAcentral.
GACGAACGCUGGCGGCGUGCUUAACACAUGCAAGUCGAACGGAAAGGCCCUGCUUUUGUGGGGUGCUCGAGUGGCGAACGGGUGAGUAACACGUGAGUAACCUGCCCUUGACUUUGGGAUAACUUCAGGAAACUGGGGCUAAUACCGGAUAGGAGCUCCUGCUGCAUGGUGGGGGUUGGAAAGUUUCGGCGGUUGGGGAUGGACUCGCGGCUUAUUAGCUUGUUGGUGGGGUAGUGGCUUACCAAGGCCUUGACGGGUAGCCGGCCUGAGAGGGUGGACGGCGACAUUGGGACUGAGAUACGGCCCAGACUCCUACGGGAGGCAGCAGUGGGGAAUAUUGCACAAUGGGCGGAAGCGUGAUGCAGCAACGCCGCGUGCGGGAUGACGGCCUUCGGGUUGUAAACCGCUUUCGCCUGUGACGAAGCGUGAGUGACGGUAAUGGGUAAAGAAGCACCGGCUAACUACGUG